RNAcentral lists this small RNA (276 nucleotides) under Pan troglodytes (chimpanzee). RNAcentral's name for it is "Metazoan signal recognition particle RNA (ENSPTRG00000043937.1)". The stretch from base 1 to 148 matches the Rfam family "Metazoan signal recognition particle RNA". From Rfam's summary of the family: The signal recognition particle (SRP) is a universally conserved ribonucleoprotein. It is involved in the co-translational targeting of proteins to membranes. Lineage: Eukaryota; Metazoa; Chordata; Mammalia; Primates; Hominidae. The record is from RNAcentral.
GCUGGGUGUGGUGGCGCACACCUGUAGUCCCAGCUACUCAGGAGGCAGAGGCAGGAGGAUCACUUGAGCUCAGGAGGUCAAGGCUGCAGUGAGCUAUGAUCACACGACUGCACUCCAGCCUGGGUGACACAGUGACAUCUUGCAUCUUAAAAGAAGAAAAGUUGGGUGUGGUGGCUCAUGCCUGUAAUCCCAGGAAUUUGGGAGGCUGAAGUGGACAGAUUGCUUGGGCCCAGGAGUUUGAGACCAGCCUGGGCAACAUAGUGAAACCCCAUCUCU